Molecule: ribosomal RNA, 500 nt
Filed under: uncultured bacterium
Lineage: Bacteria
Description: bacterial SSU rRNA
Rfam family: Bacterial small subunit ribosomal RNA
Source: RNAcentral
GAACGCUGGCGGCAUGCCUAACACAUGCAAGUCGAACGGUAACAGGACGCUGUGAUCCCUUCGGGGUGAACUUGUCGCUGACGAGUGGCGGACGGGUGAGUAACGCGUGGGAAUCUGCCUGGUAGUGGGGGACAACCCGAGGAAACUCGGGCUAAUACCGCAUACGCUCUACGGAGGAAAGCGGGGGAUCUUCGGACCUCGCGCUAUCAGAUGAGCCCGCGUCGGAUUAGCUAGUUGGUGGGGUAAUGGCUCACCAAGGCGACGAUCCGUAGCUGGUCUGAGAGGACGAUCAGCCACACUGGGACUGAGACACGGCCCAGACUCCUACGGGAGGCAGCAGUGGGGAAUAUUGGACAAUGGGGGAAACCCUGAUCCAGCAAUGCCGCGUGUGUGAAGAAGGCCUGCGGGUUGUAAAGCACUUUCAAUUGGGAAGAAAAGCAGACGGCUAAUACCUGUCUGUCUUGACGUUACCUUUACAAGAAGCACCGGCUAACUCCGUG